GGCGGUCGUGCAUGCCUAUAGUCCCAGCUACUCGAGAGGCUGAGGUGGGAGGAUUGCUUGAGCACGGGAGUUCUGGGCUGUAUGCGCUAUGCUGACUGGCUGUCCGCACCAAGUUUGGCAUCAAUAUGGUGACCUCCCAGGAGCUGGGGACCAUCAGGUUGCCUAAGGAGGGGUGAACCGGCCCAGGUCAGAAAUGGAGCAGGUCAAAACUCCCGUGCUGAUGAGUAGUGGGAUCACGCCUGUGAAGAGCCACUGCACUCCAGCCUGGGCAACACAGCGAGACCCUCAUCUCU
This 293-nucleotide signal recognition particle RNA is filed under the name Cebus imitator (Panamanian white-faced capuchin). RNAcentral's name for it is "Metazoan signal recognition particle RNA (ENSCCAG00000007332.1)". It matches the Rfam family "Metazoan signal recognition particle RNA". From Rfam's summary of the family: The signal recognition particle (SRP) is a universally conserved ribonucleoprotein. It is involved in the co-translational targeting of proteins to membranes. The eukaryotic SRP consists of a 300-nucleotide 7S RNA and six proteins: SRPs 72, 68, 54, 19, 14, and 9. Lineage: Eukaryota; Metazoa; Chordata; Mammalia; Primates; Cebidae. The record is from Rfam by way of RNAcentral.